UGGGCAAACUUCGUCACAAACUUUAAUCAUGCAGUUUUUGAUGAAAUCCCCUCCGUAAAUGGCCGGGCUGAUUUAGCGAUCUCUUCUGCCAAAAUAAAACUGGCCUUGACAGCAGCCUGGCCUUGUGAUUUGGCUUUUUUGAACAGAGCCUGUCGAGAUUUGAGGCCUCGUUUUAAUUCCUCUGCCUUUUGUAGCCUUUGUUCCAUGUCCAUAUUCUUGUUUUUGUCCGCGUGUUUCGUUUCAUAAUGUCGUCUCAGAUUAUACUCUUUCAGUACCGCCACACUUUCUCCACACAGAAGACACACAGGUUUUCCAGCUACCUCCGUGAACAAAUACUCCGACUCCCACCUUGUUUGAAACCCCGGUUCUCAGUGUCCACCUUCCGUUUUGCCAUUUUUGAUGGGUAUCUGAAAGUUAAUUUUACUGUGAUGCUGACAACUGCUGUGCCAAUAAAUAUUGAAAUGAAGCAGCCUACUGCUCGGUGCGUCACCGUUGCAUUGUGGGAAAUGUAGUAUUGGUGCGUGUAAAAGAUCUGCGGGCUGCCGGCUUGCUGCGGUCUGCGGGCCGGUUCUAAUAAUAAAUCAAGAUCAUCCCAGGGGCCGUAAAAAACCUUCUCGCGGGCCGGAUGUGGCCCGCGGGCCUUGACUCUGACAUAUGUGUUCUAGACGAUUCUGUGCUUUCAACUUUGUGGCAACAGUUUGGGAAGACCCUUUGCUUAUUCAGCACGAUAAUGCCCCCAUGCACAAAACGAUGACCAUAAAAAAAUGGUUUGUUGAGAAGAACUUGACUGGCCUGCACAGAGCCCUGACCUCAACUUCAUCAAACACCUUUGGAAUGAAUUAGAACGCCGACUGCGCGCUAGGCCUAAUUGCCCAACAUCAGUGCCCGACCUCACUAAUGCUCUUAUGGCUGAAUGGAAGCAAGUCCCUGCAGCAAUGUUCCAACGUCUAGUGGAAAGCCUUCCCAGAAGAGUGGAGGCUGUUAUAGCAGUAAACGGGGGACCAACUCCAUAUUAAUGCCCAUGAUUUUGGAAUGAGAUGUUCAACAAGCAAGUGUCCACAUACUUUUGGCCAUGUAGUGUAUAUUAAAUCUGUUUUAUAAGACUUGGUUUAUUGUUCAUAUUUGCUAUUGUCUUGAUACGGUUGUUGUGUUGUCUGUAAGUGUGAUUCAGCUUGUCCUUCACGCCUCAUGACACUAGUCAGCACACUGUAAUAAGGCUGGCAUAGGCAGGAGUAGGACUGCUCUCUGGCAUCAAAACUAACACCACAUCCUGUUCAGACGGAGAUUAAGACAGACAGUAAGCAGGCGCCAAAAUGAAAGAAGCAAAUUGUUGACAAGACCAACAAAAGAAAAAGAGAACAAUCCUUUCACGUCGCAAUUAAUAUUAUGACUUCAUAAUCAUGUAUCCAAUCCAUGGAAUGUUUAUCAAAAAUCUUUUGCGACUUAGGCUUCUCAUUCUCGCGAGGGACUCCGGUUUCUCACAGCUUCUUGAAUGAUGUUCAUCUGUAUUAAACACAGAGACAAUGGCCAAUACCAACUGCCCUGUGUUUCUCCUGCUGCAGUACAUGAGAGCUAAGAUGGGCCUGCUGGAGACGGAGCUGUUGGAUCUGUGUGAUGACCACGGGGCUCUGAAGCUCUUUCUGUCCCAGCAGCCUCAGGAGUGUGCCAGCUGACUACUUCCUCACAUGAAAGGAGAACCACUAGAGUGGACAAGGCCUCUAUGAAACUAUUUCUAAUUGUCAAAAAAGGAGUUUCUAUCUAUACAUGGCUCUUCUUUGUUUUUAAGUAUUUGUUUAUCUUAUCAGGAAACCCAAAGGAUGGUGCCUAUGUUUCCAUCACCCCCUUAGUGGCCAACCCAGACCCUGCACUUCUGAAGAGCCUGCAGACUCAGACUGACAGUCUGGAGAGGGCUUGUCUCAGACAGCUCCACUCUCAGGAGGACCGCAUAGCCAAGGAGGUGCCCUCUCAGGCCCAACCCACACAGACUGUGCUCCAUCAAUUACUUGGGCAUAUAGAAUUUGAAAAAAAUAUAUAUACAGUACCAGUCAAAAAUUUGGACACACCUACUCAUUCAAGGGUUUUUCUUUAUUUUUACCAAUUUUCUACAUUGUAGAAUAAUAGUGAAGACAUCAUAACUAUGAAAUAACACAUGGAAUCAUGUAGUAACCAAAAAAGUGUUAAACAAAUCAAAAUAUAUUUUAGAUUCUUCAAAGUAGCCACCCUUUGCCUUGGUGACAGCUUUGCACACCCUUGGCAUUUUCUCAACCAGCUUCACCUGGAAUGCUUUUCCAACGGUCUUGAAAGAGUUCCCACAUAUGCUGAGCACUUGUUGGCUUCUUUUCCUUCACUCUGCGGUCCAACUCAUCCCAAUCCAUCUCAAUUGGGUUGAGGUCGGGUGAUUGUGGAGGCCAGGUCAUCUGAUGCAGCACUCCAUCACUCUCCUUGGUCAAAUAGCCCUUACACAGCCUGGAGGUGUGUUGGGUCAUUGUCACAGCCUGGAGGUGUGUUGGGUCAUUGUCCUGUUGAAAAACAACUGAUAGUCUCACUAAGCACAAACCACAUGGGAUGGCUUAUCAUUGAAGAAUGCUGUGGUAGCCAUGCUGGUUAAAUGUGCCUUGAAUUCUAAAUAAAUCACAGACGGUUUCACCAGAAUUACACCAUCACACCUCCUCCUCCAUGCUUCACAGUGGGAACCACACAUGCAGAGAUCAUCCGUUCACAUACUCUGCGUCUCACUAAGACACAGCGGUUGGAACCAAAAAUCUCAAAUUUGGACUCAUCAGACCAAAGGAGAGAUUUCCACUUGUCUAAUGUCCAUAGCUUGUGUUUCUUGGCCCAAGCAAGUCUCUGGUGUCCUUUAGUAGUGAUUUCUUUGCAGCAAUUCAACCAUGAAGUCCUGAUUCACGCAGUCUCCUCUGAACAGUUGAUGUUGAAAUGUGUCUGUUACUUGAACACUGUGAAGCAUUUAUUUGGGCUGCAAUUUCUGAGGCUGGUAACUCUAAUUAACUUAUCCUCUGCAGCAGAGGUAACUCUGGGUCUUCCUUUGCUGUGGUGGUCCUCAUGAGAGACAGUUUCAACAUAGCGCUUGAUGGUUUAUGACUGCACUUGAAGAAACUUUCAAUGUUCUUGAAAUUGUCCUGAUUGACUGACCUUCAUGUCUUAAAGUAAUGAUGGACUUUCAUUUCUCUUUGCUUUUUUGAGCUUUUCUUGCCAUAAUAUGGACUUGGUCUUUUACCAAAUAGGGCUAUCUUCUGUAUACCACCUCUACCUUGUCACAACACAACUGAUUAGCUCAAACACAUUAAGAAGGAAAGACAUUCCACAAAUGAACUUUUAACAAGGCACACCUGUUCAUUGAAAUGCAUUCCAAAGAAAUACCUCUGGAAGCUGGUUGUGAGAAUGCCAAGAGUGUGCACAGAUGACAUCAAGGCAAAGGGUGGCUACUUUGAAGAAUCUCAAAUCUAACAUAUAUUUUGAUUCGUUUAACACUUUUUUGGUUACUGCAUGAUUGUGUAUGUGUUAUUUCAUCGUUGUGAGGUGUUCACUCUUAUUCUACAAUGUAGAAAAUAGUCAAAUUAAAGAAAAACCCUUUAAUGAGUAGAUGUGUCCAAACUUUUGACUGGUACUGUAAGUCUUAGAAGUGUUUUUUAUUUAUUUUUGUGCCCAACUUUUGUGCUGUGUCCCAAAGGCUAAGAGCCAGGGCCGUGCGGUACAUAUUGACGCCCCUGACGACGAACGCUCCAAUCGCCGGACUUGAGGCAGGAAGAGCAGGAACUGAGAGAACCUGUCAAUCGUACAAUAAUUUAUGUAUAAAUGAAGGUGUAAAUAUGAUCUAGUGGACCCUGAGUCAUCAAAGUCUAAGCUAGCCAAUAGUCAUCAGUGUUGAAUAAUACAGUCGUCAUGAACCCUUCGUGGAACUCUUAAUCAAAACAACAAUCCUGGGAUUCUUGUGUGACCACAAUCAUACCAAACCAGACCCUGUUAUACACUGGAUUGUGUAGGGGUACAUUUUUGGGUUUGAUCCUCUUUCAGACCAAAGGUAAGUCCUGGGUCUGUAUUGCAUUGUGGAAAAUGCAAUGAUCAUUGUCAAUGAUUCACAGUGAACAAAGUUGUUGUACCAAAUAUGACCGGAGGGGAGAGAUAAGAUUCAACAGCCCAGUGAAGUAGUUUUUGUUUGUUUACGCAAGAGUGCCUAUGAUGGUGCUGCUAAUGUGAAUAAUUAUUCACAUUUUCAGUGGAAUAACUUGCUUGUCUUUACAGACUUGUCUGGAUAAAACAAUGUUUUUGAUCUGUAAUGGGUGCUAUAAAAAGCCAUAUUAUUCAUAUAUACAUAUAUUCUAGAAAUCUUAUGACUAUAGAUAGAAAUAGAAGUCUCUUAUCCAAUUGUUAAGCUCCCACUCCCAUGUCCAAUACGCUUUAAGUUCUGUUUUAAGAUGGUCCCUUGAAAUUAAGUGCCAGAUGAUGUCACUUUCUGCUUCUGUGAUUGGUGGGUAUGAAUACCUGUUUGUUACCAAAAUUUGAUGAAAAUAACUGAAUUGGGAUAAAUAUAUUUAGAAAUGGAGCUCUGACAUCACUGUUUAUUUUCCAAGAGUGAGAGAGUUUUGUUUUGUGUCUCUUAAUCUUUCUUUUCAGCUUGGUGUUAUGAUCAACAUACGUAUUUUGCUUUUUGAGGCUUUCCCCAAGAGUUAUUUUCUUGAAAUUAAUUUAUCUUGACCAGUGAGUGAACUUUAAAUUAGGGGUGGUAUGUUCAGGCUAACUGACUGAGGGACUGACUGAGUGAUGUGACAGUGUGCCAGUCUCUCUGCUAAAGGUUUAUUAAGCCACCUCUGGUGGGUGGCUUGGCACUGUGAAACAGGAAGUCAUGGGUGAAAUGCCAGCAGGUGGUUCCUCCCAGUGUUUGUGGUUUACUAUAUCUUCUAAGUUAUGUACAGGCCUGGAUCAGAUGGUUUCAAUGGCUCCAUAGUGUACGUGCCUGGUAACAUUUGGCACAUUGUUGUUGGUGGUGUGACUGCCUGGGGGGUUUUGAGGACGAGUUGCCAGAGUGUGGAGGCUAGCAUUUCGGCAGAAUAUUGUGAAGUAACUUGUUCUCUUGCCGCUGGUAGAUGGCUAUGAGCCAGAGUUUGAUUAGUAAAAGAUUACUACCUUCCCUUCUUAAAAUCACUGGAUUCAU
Long non-coding RNA from Oncorhynchus keta (chum salmon), 5170 nucleotides. RefSeq lists it as uncharacterized. The record is from RefSeq and is a predicted model, not a curated record. The transcript is spliced from 4 exons. Lineage: Eukaryota; Metazoa; Chordata; Actinopteri; Salmoniformes; Salmonidae.